This 497-nucleotide ribosomal RNA is filed under the name uncultured bacterium. RNAcentral's name for it is "partial 16S ribosomal RNA". It matches the Rfam family "Bacterial small subunit ribosomal RNA", at positions 28 to 507 of the family's 1533-position model. The record is from RNAcentral.
GAUGAACGCUGGCGGCGUGCCUAAUACAUGCAAGUCGAGCGAACGGACGAGAAGCUUGCUUCUCUGAUGUUAGCGGCGGACGGGUGAGUAACACGUGGAUAACCUACCUAUAAGACUGGGAUAACUUCGGGAAACCGGAGCUAAUGCCGGAUAAUAUUUUGAACAGCAUGGUUCAAAAGUGAAAGACGGUCUUGCUGUCACUUAUAGAUGGAUCCGCGCUGCAUUAGCUAGUUGGUAAGGUAACGGCUUACCAAGGCAACGAUGCAUAGCCGACCUGAGAGGGUGAUCGGCCACACUGGAACUGAGACACGGUCCAGACUCCUACGGGAGGCAGCAGUAGGGAAUCUUCCGCAAUGGGCGAAAGCCUGACGGAGCAACGCCGCGUGAGUGAUGAAGGUCUUCGGAUCGUAAAACUCUGUUAUUAGGGAAGAACAUAUGUGUAAGUAACUGUGCACAUCUUGACGGUACCUAAUCAGAAAGCCACGGCUAACUACGUG